CGGCGGACGGGUGAGUAACGCGUGGGUAACCUACCCCAAAGUCCGGGAUAACAGCGGGAAACCGCUGCUAAUACCGGAUGCCUUUACCUUGGGGCAUCUUGAGGUAAAGAAAGGUAACGCUUUGGGAUGGGCCCGCGUCCCAUUAGCUAGUUGGUGAGGUAACGGCUCACCAAGGCGACGAUGGGUAGCCGGCCUGAGAGGGUGGACGGCCACACUGGGACUGAGACACGGCCCAGACUCCUGCGGGAGGCAGCAGUAGGGAAUAUUGCGCAAUGGACGGAAGUCUGACGCAGCGACGCCGCGUGAGCGAUGAAGGUCUUCGGAUCGUAAAGCUCUGUCCUUGGGGAAGAAGGUCUUCGGACUUGACGGUACCCAAGAAGAAAGCCCCGGCUAACUACGUGCCAGCAGCCGCGGUAAUACGUAGGGGGCGAGCGUUGUCCGGAAUUACUGGGCGUAAA
Molecule: ribosomal RNA, 458 nt
Filed under: uncultured bacterium
Lineage: Bacteria
Description: bacterial SSU rRNA
Rfam family: Bacterial small subunit ribosomal RNA
Source: RNAcentral